UAAUACGUAGGGCGCGAGCGUUGUCCGGAAUCACUGGGCGUAAAGGGCGCGCAGGUGGGUUCGCAAGCGGGGGGUGAAAGGCCGGGGCUCAACCCCGGGACUGCUUCCCGAACUGCGGAUCUAGAGGGGGUCAGGGGCCAGCGGAAUUCCGGGUGGAGAGGUGAAAUUCGUAGAGAUCCGGAGGAACGCCGGCGGCGAAAGCGGCUGGCUGGGGCCGCCCUGACACUGAGGCGCGAGAGCGUGGGGAGCAAACAGGAUUAGAUACCCUGGUAGUCCACGCCGUAAACGAUGGGUACCGGGUGUCCGGGGGGUCGACCCCCCUGGGCGCCGCAGCUAACGCGAUGAGUACCCCGCCUGGGGAGUACGGCCGCAAGGCUA
Molecule: ribosomal RNA, 378 nt
Filed under: uncultured delta proteobacterium
Lineage: Bacteria; Deltaproteobacteria
Description: bacterial SSU rRNA
Rfam family: Bacterial small subunit ribosomal RNA
Source: RNAcentral